RNAcentral lists this transfer RNA (67 nucleotides) under Egernia cygnitos. RNAcentral describes it as "tRNA-His". It matches the Rfam family "tRNA". From Rfam's summary of the family: Transfer RNA (tRNA) molecules are approximately 80 nucleotides in length. Their secondary structure includes four short double-helical elements and three loops (D, anti-codon, and T loops). Lineage: Eukaryota; Metazoa; Chordata; Lepidosauria; Squamata; Scincidae. The record is from RNAcentral.
GUCAACAUAGUUUAACAAAAACAUUAGGAUGUGGAUCUAAAAACAGAAGCUAAACCUUCUUGUUGAC